UGGGGAAUAUUGCACAAUGGGCGCAAGCCUGAUGCAGCCAUGCCGCGUGUAUGAAGAAGGCCUUCGGGUUGUAAAGUACUUUCAGCGGGGAGGAAGGGAGUAAAGUUAAUACCUUUGCUCAUUGACGUUACCCGCAGAAGAAGCACCGGCUAACUCCGUGCCAGCAGCCGCGGUAAUACGGAGGGUGCAAGCGUUAAUGGGAAUAACUGGGCGUAAAGCGCACGCAGGCGGUUUGUCAAGUCAGAUGUGAAAUCCCCGGGCUCAACCUGGGAACUGCAUCUGAUACUGGCAAGCUUGAGUCUCGUAGAGGGGGGUAGAAUUCCAGGUGUAGCGAUGAAAUGCGUAGAGAUCGGGAAGAAUACCGGUGGCGAAGGCGGCCCCCUGGACGAAGACUGACGCUCAGGUGCGAAAGCGUGGGGAGCAAACAGG
This 429-nucleotide ribosomal RNA is filed under the name Chloroflexota bacterium. RNAcentral describes it as "Chloroflexi bacterium partial 16S ribosomal RNA". It matches the Rfam family "Bacterial small subunit ribosomal RNA", at positions 355 to 776 of the family's 1533-position model. Lineage: Bacteria; Bacillati; Chloroflexota. The record is from RNAcentral.